AAAUUGAAGAGUUUGAUCAUGGCUCAGAUUGAACGCUGGCGGCAGGCCUAACACAUGCAAGUCGAACGGUAACAGGAAGCAGCUUGCUGCUUCGCUGACGAGUGGCGGACGGGUGAGUAAUGUCUGGGAAACUGCCUGAUGGAGGGGGAUAACUACUGGAAACGGUAGCUAAUACCGCAUAACGUCGCAAGACCAAAGAGGGGGACCUUCGGGCCUCUUGCCAUCGGAUGUGCCCAGAUGGGAUUAGCUUGUUGGUGGGGUAACGGCUCACCAAGGCGACGAUCCCUAGCUGGUCUGAGAGGAUGACCAG
RNAcentral lists this ribosomal RNA (310 nucleotides) under Shigella sonnei. RNAcentral's name for it is "bacterial SSU rRNA". It matches the Rfam family "Bacterial small subunit ribosomal RNA", at positions 1 to 307 of the family's 1533-position model. The record is from RNAcentral. Lineage: Bacteria; Pseudomonadati; Pseudomonadota; Gammaproteobacteria; Enterobacterales; Enterobacteriaceae.